ACUUCAAAUGACUAAUACAACAAUUCAAGAAUGCAGCGUCUGGACCUCUUAAAAUGACUGUAAUGAUGAGUUGAUGGUACCGGGAGGACACUGAACACACUGCUCCUGCUCCCCGCUGUAGAAUGUCCCCACGCCACAGCUCACUGAGGAGGACAGCACAGGUAAGAAAGAACAGAACAUCAUACCUGAGGCUUCCUCCUCCUUCAUUUCCAUCUCGAACUCAGCUGUGAUGUGAGAA
Molecule: long non-coding RNA, 238 nt
Organism: Larimichthys crocea (large yellow croaker)
Lineage: Eukaryota; Metazoa; Chordata; Actinopteri; Sciaenidae
Exons: 3
Source: RefSeq, a predicted model, not a curated record